Molecule: ribosomal RNA, 27 nt
Filed under: uncultured fungus
Lineage: Eukaryota; Fungi
Description: partial 28S ribosomal RNA
Source: RNAcentral
ACCCGCUGACUUAGCAUCAUAGCGAGA